CCCUUAGAUGUUCUGGGCCGCACGCGCGCUACACUGACGAUGGCAACGAGUUUUUCCUUCGCCGAAAGGUGUGGGUAAUCUUUUGAAACAUCGUCGUGCUGGGGAUAGAUCAUUGCAAUUUUUGAUCUUGAACGAGGAAUUCCUAGUAAGCGCGAGUCAUCAGCUCGCGUUGAUUACGUCCCUGCCCUUUGUACACACCGCCCGUCGCUACUACCGAUUGAAUGGUUUAGUGAGGACUCCUGAUUGGCGCCGCCGCACCGGCAACGGAGCAGCGGACUGCCGAAAAGUUGUUCAAACUUGAUCAUUUAGAGGAAGUAAAAGUCGUAACA
This 329-nucleotide ribosomal RNA is filed under the name uncultured eukaryote. RNAcentral describes it as "partial 18S ribosomal RNA". It matches the Rfam family "Eukaryotic small subunit ribosomal RNA", at positions 1470 to 1796 of the family's 1831-position model. The record is from RNAcentral.